This 204-nucleotide long non-coding RNA is filed under the name Ananas comosus (pineapple). Its description in RNAcentral is "long non-coding RNA (ACOM_LNC035682)". Lineage: Eukaryota; Viridiplantae; Streptophyta; Magnoliopsida; Poales; Bromeliaceae. The record is from RNAcentral.
ACAGUCACUUUGCUUCUUCCUUUUGUUUGUCAGACCAAAAUGUAUUUAUGCCACUGACCGUUCCUAAAACAAGUGGCAAAGGACUUGGUGGUUGGUACCCGAGACCCAAGUUCGAAUCUUACUUGAUUCACAUUUCCAGCUAAGUUUAUUUCUAAAUGAAAUAAACAAAACGGAUAGCGUGCUACCUAUCUCUCAAAAAAAAAA